CUGUGCCAAUGCAGUGCUGCAGUGUUAAAUGGUCAGUAUGAGAGAUUAUCAUCUUGGCUACUACAUGAGAUUGCAAUUAAAGUCAUUUUCAGCUUCUAGUCACUUUUUCUUAUUCAGUGGGAACACGACAUUCCAGAGGCUGUUAAUUCCCAGUCUUUGCUGCUGUGCUGUCUCUCUGAUGCUGUGCUAAGUCAGAAACGAGGCAGGAAAAUUACACCCACAGGCCUGAUGUGAAGGUUAAGAUCAACCUCCAUGGAGUUCCUAAAUCAAGGGGAAAGUUAUGAUUGAGUUUGGGGCAUCAUUCAACACAGAAAAUCGGCAUUUAGGAUAACUCAUCUCAUGAAUGCAGCUGCAAACUCCUGAGUUAAGAGCAGAGCUGCCAAAAGUCUCCUUUCCUGUUUCAGUGUGUGAGCUGCAGCCUGGACAUGGAUUACAACACACAGCAGCCACACUCUGCACAAGGUGGAUGCAGCUGCUAUCCUAUCUUGCUAAACACACUGCCUUUAACUUCUGGAGACUUAUAAGAUCAUGGAGAUUAUAGAGCACUAUAGGUGGAAAGUUCUGUGCAGGUGUCCAGGAUUGCUGCAGUCUGUGUCUCCCUGGGACUUC
This 609-nucleotide long non-coding RNA is filed under the name Cyanistes caeruleus (blue tit). RNAcentral's name for it is "lncRNA (ENSCCEG00000019064.1)". The record is from RNAcentral. Lineage: Eukaryota; Metazoa; Chordata; Aves; Passeriformes; Paridae.